This 21-nucleotide microRNA is filed under the name Corchorus olitorius. RNAcentral describes it as "ssp-miR11". The record is from RNAcentral. Lineage: Eukaryota; Viridiplantae; Streptophyta; Magnoliopsida; Malvales; Malvaceae.
UACUACUCCCUCUGUCCCCAA